Molecule: long non-coding RNA, 963 nt
Filed under: Marmota monax (woodchuck)
Lineage: Eukaryota; Metazoa; Chordata; Mammalia; Rodentia; Sciuridae
Source: RNAcentral
GCUGGCUGGGCCUUGGUCCGGUGGCUCACGGUGGGUGGUGUUCUCUCCCCUUGGACCAGGGUGGAGCACAGUUAGCUCCUAACAGGCUCCAUCCUCUCUGCCCAUCCCUCCUUAGCCCUCCUUCACUCACUCUCCUCUCACUGGGUAUUCUCUGUCCUCUCACCUCUUCACUCUUGGCCAUCACAUUCUAAGAGUCCCCUGCAGAACGGGGAACUCUCAUUUGGAUCUCCUACGUGAGCCCAGAGCUUGAUCACACCGCCUUCCCCUUCUUUGCCUGGUUCUCAGUCUCUCUAGAGGCCAGGAAGUGGCAAAGGAGCGGCCCAGCAGCAGAGGCCUCAGCUUGCACAGCUGGUUGGAGCAGAGGUGGAGACUGGUGGUGAGGGGCGGCCAGAUGCUAUGGGUCUUCACUAAAGUCUGAGCCUCUCCCAUUUCGUCUUCUUUUCUUGGCCUGGAAGAUAUGACCAGAGCCCCUGAUGUCAAGCCCCUGUCUUUGGAAAUAUUUAAUCUCCCCAUGCCUCUCUUCCAGAGAUACCUGUCCCCUUCUCUGAGCGGAUAAUGUCAUCAACUCCAUUGAAAUAGGAAUUCUAUGAAGGCAGGGAGUUUUACUCCCCCAGAGUCUAGAUCAGUGCCUGGCCCAUAGUAGGUACUCAAUGAAUAUUUUUGAAAGAACCACCACCUCUGUUGAAGUAAUCAAAGCUGAUAAAAUACUUUCACCCCUGAUAAACACUCUGUUGGGCAGGUAGACAGUUUCAGAACUAACAUUCCCAAAGAUUUGUUUUAUAAUUAUACCACAGAGCAAUUAUUUUUUUGUAAAAAAAUUCAAACAAUGCAAAGGAAGUUCCCCUUGUUCCAAAUCUAAUUAACAUGUUCCUCUUUAGUGAUGACCUGUGGCAUCAAUUAUGCAUGUGCUCUGCGGACUUGAUUCUAUGGAUUUGGACAAAUCUCUAUGUUAACAGAGGUCUA